GAAAAACUGCCUCAUUUCCGUCUUUUGUCACGGCGACAAACAAAAUGCCACUAUUUUUGCCCUUCAGGUGUGUGCCGUCAACCACAAUCACUGGUCGAAGGUGAAAGUAGAAAGGUGAGAUGGAAGCCCACAGAGCAACAAACAAAUGUUUGAACCGGCAGUCUACAUCUACGUCCAAAUCAUAUAAGGUGCCAGGAUUCGCUUCCUUCAGGGCAUACAGAUAUCUUGGGAGCAGGAGGAACGAAUCAUCAACUCGACCGUAUAUCAUAUCCAUCCCGAGAUUUCUUGCACGCAGCGCGACAUCAUAUUUGAUUUUGAUGCCGAAAUCGCGUACUAACUCAGCCAUGAUGGAUUUCGGCUUAAUGACCUCUCCAUCAUCGCGUAUUCUGUUUGCCACAAACGCUG
This 405-nucleotide long non-coding RNA is filed under the name Salvia miltiorrhiza (redroot sage). RNAcentral's name for it is "long non-coding RNA (SMIL_LNC012406)". The record is from RNAcentral. Lineage: Eukaryota; Viridiplantae; Streptophyta; Magnoliopsida; Lamiales; Lamiaceae.